This 486-nucleotide ribosomal RNA is filed under the name swine fecal bacterium FPC60. RNAcentral's name for it is "bacterial SSU rRNA". It matches the Rfam family "Bacterial small subunit ribosomal RNA", at positions 7 to 503 of the family's 1533-position model. The record is from RNAcentral.
GAGAGUUUGAUUCUGGCUCAGGAUGAACGCUGGCGGCGUGCUUAACACAUGCAAGUCGAGCGCGGUCCCUUUGGUGCUUGCACCAAAGAAGACUGAGCGGCGGACGGGUGAGUAACGCGUGGGUAACCUGCCCUAUACACAUGGAUAACAUGCUGAAAAGCAUACUAAUACAUGAUAACAUACACUGAUGGCAUCUUCGGUGUAUCAAAGCGUUAGCGGUAUAGGAUGGACCCGCGUCAGAUUAGCUAGUUGGUGGGGUAAAAGCCUACCAAGGCCACGAUCAGUAGCCGACCUGAGAGGGUGAUCGGCCACAUUGGAACUGAGACACGGUCCAAACUCCUACGGGAGGCAGCAGUGGGGAAUAUUGCACAAUGGGCGAAAGCCUGAUGCAGCAACGCCGCGUGAACGAUGAAGGUCUUCGGAUCGUAAAGUUCUGUCGCAGGGGAAGAUAAUGACGGUACCCUGUGAGGAAGCACCGGCUAACUA